Cricetulus griseus (Chinese hamster) is the source of this 287-nucleotide unclassified non-coding RNA. Its record names the gene 7SK. It matches the Rfam family "7SK RNA". From Rfam's summary of the family: 7SK was discovered as an abundant small nuclear RNA in the mid-70s but a possible function has only recently been suggested. Two independent studies have found that 7SK RNA binds the CDK9/cyclin T complex (known as elongation factor P-TEFb). P-TEFb activates transcription by phosphorylating the C-terminal domain of RNA polymerase II. The record is from Ensembl. Lineage: Eukaryota; Metazoa; Chordata; Mammalia; Rodentia; Cricetidae.
GCACAUGAGUGUGAUCUGACUGUGACAUCUGCCACUCCGUUGAUUGCCAACAUUGAUACAGAAUCUGGCUGGCCAAGCAAGUGCCCCUUUUCUUCCUGACUGCUCUAUGUGUAUCCUUCCUGAAACUGCAAGAGAACAACCUUCCCCAUAGAGGAGGACUGUUAUUUGGUCAAGGGUAUACUGGUAGCUGCAUUACCAGGCUAGAACCUCCAAACAUGUUCUCAAGAUGGAGCAAUUCAGGGGCUCAAAUGGACUCUUUAGGAAAUAAAAUUAACCCUGUCAUAUUU